GCUUGUUUAAGAAACACAUAAUAAAAUUGGAACAAUAUAGAAAAGGUUAGCAUGGUCCAUGUGCAAGGAUGAUAUUCAGGUUUGUGAGAAGAUCCAUACAAAU
Hemiscyllium ocellatum (epaulette shark) is the source of this 103-nucleotide small nuclear RNA. NCBI's taxonomy places the organism in Eukaryota, Metazoa, Chordata, Chondrichthyes, Orectolobiformes, Hemiscylliidae. The record is from RefSeq and is a predicted model, not a curated record.